This 222-nucleotide long non-coding RNA is filed under the name Numida meleagris (helmeted guineafowl). RNAcentral's name for it is "lncRNA (ENSNMEG00000011569.1)". Lineage: Eukaryota; Metazoa; Chordata; Aves; Galliformes; Numididae. The record is from RNAcentral.
AUGUGUACCAACAUUGCUGACAUUGCUGUCUUCCAAGACUACUACAGAGACAAGGACCUUAUGACUCUGGUGGUGGAUGUGAUAAAGCUUGUGACAGGAGCAGUCUCCACUUCCCUGGUGCUGAGAAGCACCCAGAAGAAGUAUAUUAACACAAGUCUGUUCUACUACUCAAGUGUGUUGUUGUACCUGGUUGACAGUGGUGACUGCAGUUGGGAAGGGUGA